UAGGGAAUCUUCCACAAUGGGCGCAAGCCUGAUGGAGCAACACCGCGUGAGUGAAGAAGGGUUUCGGCUCGUAAAGCUCUGAUGUUAAAGAAGAACACGUAUGAGAGUAACUGUUCAUACGUUGACGGUAUUUAACCAGAAAGUCACGGCUAACUACGUGCCCG
This 164-nucleotide ribosomal RNA is filed under the name uncultured bacterium. Its description in RNAcentral is "partial 16S rRNA". It matches the Rfam family "Bacterial small subunit ribosomal RNA", at positions 355 to 511 of the family's 1533-position model. The record is from RNAcentral.